Molecule: ribosomal RNA, 137 nt
Filed under: uncultured bacterium
Lineage: Bacteria
Description: partial 16S ribosomal RNA
Rfam family: Bacterial small subunit ribosomal RNA
Source: RNAcentral
UAGGGAAUAUUGGACAAUGGGCGAAAGCCUGAUCCAGCAAUGCCGCGUGAGUGAUGAAGGCCUUAGGGUUGUAAAGCUCUUUUACCCGGGAUGAUAAUGACAGUACCGGGAGAAUAAGCCCCGGCUAACUCCGNGCC